Tritrichomonas musculus is the source of this 74-nucleotide non-coding RNA. The record is from the annotation of a GenBank genome assembly. NCBI's taxonomy places the organism in Eukaryota, Parabasalia, Tritrichomonadida, Tritrichomonadidae.
GUCUGCGUGACAUAGUGGGUAUUGCGUGAGACUCAAUAACUCAAGUUCGGCGGUUCGAAUCCCCCCGCAGAGCG